RNAcentral lists this ribosomal RNA (829 nucleotides) under Bacillus sp. (in: firmicutes). RNAcentral describes it as "bacterial SSU rRNA". It matches the Rfam family "Bacterial small subunit ribosomal RNA", at positions 56 to 866 of the family's 1533-position model. The record is from RNAcentral. Lineage: Bacteria; Bacillati; Bacillota; Bacilli; Caryophanales; Bacillaceae.
UGCAAGUCGAGCGGACAGAUGGGAGCUUGCUCCCUGAUGUUAGCGGCGGACGGGUGAGUAACACGUGGGUAACCUGCCUGUAAGACUGGGAUAACUCCGGGAAACCGGGGCUAAUACCGGAUGGUUGUCUGAACCGCAUGGUUCAGACAUAAAAGGUGGCUUCGGCUACCACUUACAGAUGGACCCGCGGCGCAUUAGCUAGUUGGUGAGGUAACGGCUCACCAAGGCGACGAUGCGUAGCCGACCUGAGAGGGUGAUCGGCCACACUGGGACUGAGACACGGCCCAGACUCCUACGGGAGGCAGCAGUAGGGAAUCUUCCGCAAUGGACGAAAGUCUGACGGAGCAACGCCGCGUGAGUGAUGAAGGUUUUCGGAUCGUAAAGCUCUGUUGUUAGGGAAGAACAAGUGCCGUUCAAAUAGGGCGGCACCUUGACGGUACCUAACCAGAAAGCCACGGCUAACUACGUGCCAGCAGCCGCGGUAAUACGUAGGUGGCAAGCGUUGUCCGGAAUUAUUGGGCGUAAAGGGCUCGCAGGCGGUUUCUUAAGUCUGAUGUGAAAGCCCCCGGCUCAACCGGGGAGGGUCAUUGGAAACUGGGGAACUUGAGUGCAGAAGAGGAGAGUGGAAUUCCACGUGUAGCGGUGAAAUGCGUAGAGAUGUGGAGGAACACCAGUGGCGAAGGCGACUCUCUGGUCUGUAACUGACGCUGAGGAGCGAAAGCGUGGGGAGCGAACAGGAUUAGAUACCCUGGUAGUCCACGCCGUAAACGAUGAGUGCUAAGUGUUAGGGGGUUUCCGCCCCUUAGUGCUGCAGCUAACGCAUUAAGCA